Molecule: long non-coding RNA, 611 nt
Filed under: Lathyrus oleraceus (garden pea)
Lineage: Eukaryota; Viridiplantae; Streptophyta; Magnoliopsida; Fabales; Fabaceae
Description: Pisum sativum (pea) long non-coding RNA (PSAT_LNC034639)
Source: RNAcentral
GCAAACAUAAAAUAAUUUUAUAAUUAUUUAUUAUUCUAUCACCUAUUAUAUAUUUAAUCAACAUAACACAUAAUUUCUGUAAGGGCAACAAAAAAAAAGAGUUUAACCAGUUAAUUAUUAAAAACAAUAAUUAUAUUUCUGAGAAACAAUGUGUUCCAAUAAGUGUAACAAUUACAAAUCAAACAAUCACCUCAACGACGUUACAACUUCCUAGAACACAUAGUUUAUUAAAUUUGGCUCAGGAAGAAUAAUUAGAAUAAUAAACUGAGUUUUUACAGGGUCACAAGUGGUUCUUCACUUUUCUCCUCUGCCUUUGGUUCCUCAGCUUUAACAUCUUCCUUUUUUGCUUCAGGAGUCUCAGUGGCAGCCUCAGACACCUCUUGCUUGGCUUCCACGGCUUCUUCUGCAACCUCUUGUUUCUGCUCAGCUACUUCCUCAGUUUUCUCCUGAGCACCUUGAGUCUCGCCAUGGUUAACAUUCUCCGGUGCAGUGGGAACCUCCACGGGGGCUUCCCCUUCGUUCAAGGCAAGAUCCUUAGGACUGCUCACACAACCUCCCAUUAUUAUUAUAUUUAGGUUAUUAAAGGAAUCAAGUAAAGGGGAGGAGGUGUG